GAUGAACGCUGGCGGCGUGCCUAAUACAUGCAAGUCGAGCGAACAGACGAGGAGCUUGCUCCUCUGACGUUAGCGGCGGACGGGUGAGUAACACGUGGAUAACCUACCUAUAAGACUGGGAUAACUUCGGGAAACCGGAGCUAAUACCGGAUAAUAUAUUGAACCGCAUGGUUCAAUAGUGAAAGACGGUUUUGCUGUCACUUAUAGAUGGAUCCGCGCCGCAUUAGCUAGUUGGUAAGGUAACGGCUUACCAAGGCAACGAUGCGUAGCCGACCUGAGAGGGUGAUCGGCUACACUGGAACUGAGACACGGUCCAGACUCCUACGGGAGGCAGCAGUAGGGAAUCUUCCGCAAUGGGCGAAAGCCUGACGGAGCAACGCCGCGUGAGUGAUGAAGGUCUUCGGAUCGUAAACCUCUGUUAUUAGGGAAGAACAAAUGUGUAAGUAACUAUGCACGUCUUGACGGUACCUAAUCAGAAAGCCACGGCUAACUACGUG
RNAcentral lists this ribosomal RNA (497 nucleotides) under uncultured bacterium. RNAcentral's name for it is "partial 16S ribosomal RNA". It matches the Rfam family "Bacterial small subunit ribosomal RNA", at positions 28 to 507 of the family's 1533-position model. The record is from RNAcentral.